Molecule: long non-coding RNA, 1009 nt
Filed under: Zea mays
Lineage: Eukaryota; Viridiplantae; Streptophyta; Magnoliopsida; Poales; Poaceae
Description: long non-coding RNA (ZMAY_LNC002627)
Source: RNAcentral
AAGAAGCUCCCAACACAUUAGCUGAGUUGAUAGAUUGGCAACAAAUUCUGGGAAGAUUUACAAAACACAAAGAUUAGUACAUAUGUUGUGAAGAUUUACAAAAGACAAAGAUUAUUAGUACAUAUAUAGUGUAUAUAGAACAUGGAAGUAUUAUACAGGACAGAUCUAUCUAUUACUAUCAUGUAUAUACUAUAACUUAGGAAUUAAGAAACAAUAGAGUUGGGGAUGAAGAGAUACGAGAUGGCAGACAUAACUUCCCAAAUGAAUCCUACUACUGCACAACUUAUCAUAGGCGCAGGCAAAAUUUCCCAUAUACAUACACCAAUCUAACAAAUCAUCAACGGACAACUCUACGAGACCAUCGAACAACGCUGAAUUAGACGGUCUAAAUGGAAAAAAAAUCUAUGCAGAGAUCGUGUAUAAGUAAAACCCAUGGAGCACAGGCUAGAGGUGUCCAAUCAUGCUGAUGCUAAAAUCCUUCCGUCUAAUCAAUCUGCUCACGGCACAUGGUAGACGGAGAUGUUUGAUCCGGCUGUUUACGCGAGUUCGAUCCAACUGAUCGUCACUUCGUCAGCUAGGACAGACACAAAGGGACACACGGAGAUCGUCAUGUAAACGUGUCAGUCCUGCAUAGAAUUUUUUCCCUGGUCGAGAUGAAAAAAUCCCUAUAGCAAAAGAGAACUAAAGCCGGCACCUACGAAACCAUUGGCACUCUAAUACGAGUACCGCAAGUGGAUAAUCCCGCUGAGACUCGAGGCUGCCAGCGAGUAAAAUCCGACCAGCGCGAGGCGGCGAGCACGACGUCAGGGAAACGGGCCCCGCGGGGAUCAGAUCGCUCACCUCCGGGCGGGGCGGGGCAGAGGGCGCGCGGCGCGGAAGCGCAGGUGCCCCCGUGACGGGGUAGGCGUGGCAGCGGGGGCGAAGGGCAGGAGGCCGUGGUGGGAAGCGGCGAGCGCCAUGGGUGGGUGCGCGCAAUCUGGUGUGGAGCGGGGCGGAGAGGCGUGCGGCG